RNAcentral lists this ribosomal RNA (477 nucleotides) under uncultured bacterium. RNAcentral's name for it is "partial 16S ribosomal RNA". It matches the Rfam family "Bacterial small subunit ribosomal RNA", at positions 899 to 1397 of the family's 1533-position model. The record is from RNAcentral.
ACUCAAAGGAAUUGACGGGGGCCCGCACAAGCAGCGGAGCGUGUGGUUUAAUUCGACGCAACGCGCACAACCUUACCCAGACUUGACAUGGAGCUGCAGACUGGUGAAAGCCAGCCGCCUUCGAGGGUGCUCCACAGAUGCUGCAUGGCUGUCGUCAGCUCGUGUCGUGAGAUGUUGGGUUAAGUCCCGCAACGAGCGCAACCCCCGCGGCCAGUUAGAUCUGUCUGGCCGGACCGCCCUUCGGGGAGGAAGGUGGGGAUGAUGUCAAGUCCGCAUGGCUCUUACGUCUGGGGCGACACACACGCUACAAUGGCGCCGACAGUGCGCAGCGACCCGGUAACGGGGAGCGAAUCGCCAAACGGCGCCCCAGUGCAGAUCGGGGGCUGCAACUCGCCCCCGUGAAGGCGGAGUUGCUAGUAACCGCGCAUCAGGACUGGCGCGGUGAAUACGUACCCGGGCCUUGUACACACCGCCCGU